AGGACCGGAAAGUAAGUUGUUUGACAAGUUCAUAGAGUUUGGUAACAAUUCACCUAGGCUCUCAGGGAUCUUUCCUAUCAAAAGAUUACUAGACAGAUCAAGAUAGUUGAGAGAUUUAAGCGAAGAAAGUGACUCGGGGAUUGAAGAAUUGAACUUGUUACCUUGCAAGAGUAACAAAUUGAGGCUUUUUAAACCACCAAUUUCAGAAGGAAUUGGACCAUACAAAAGGUUAUUGCUAAGAUCAAGCUUCACAAGAUUAGAAGAUGUAGAUAUUUCAUAAGGAAGCAAACCUGAA
Molecule: unclassified non-coding RNA, 295 nt
Filed under: Hevea brasiliensis (rubber tree)
Lineage: Eukaryota; Viridiplantae; Streptophyta; Magnoliopsida; Malpighiales; Euphorbiaceae
Source: RNAcentral